UUCCCUUGGCACCGUCACCUCGUCACGACGAGUCAAGCUAGGGUUUCGCUGGUCGAUUUCUCCGGCGACGGCGCGAUGGACCAGGAGCUCGUGAUGCGAUGGAGCCCCCCCUCCUCCGCGUCCCCGGCGCCGCCCCCUCCUCCUCGCCACCCCCGGUGGUCUCCUCUCUGGCCCCCCCUCCUCAUAGCUGCGCCGACUGCGGGGGUGGACUAGGAGCUCGGGAUGCGGUUUCGUACCUUCACGGCGGCCGCCCCCGCCGUUCUCAACACCUCCGGGCGGUGGAUCUGCAGGCCCACGCCGGUGCCUGGUACAUUUGUCUAUCUCUCUCCCUCCACUCCUCUCUUCCCAUCUCAGAUCCAGAUCCACACAUGCACAGACACACGACAGAUGGGGCAAGCGGCAGCAAGGGCUAGCAGCUAGAUCGGCACAGCGGAGGCUAGCUCGUCGUGGAGCGGCGUGGCUCAUCUCCGUAGCAGCCUGGGCACAAGGGGCCCUGGUCUAUUUUCGCUCGAGCUGACUCAGUACUAGCGGAUUGUUAGUCUGUUUGUUUUCUCAGGUUAGGUUGUUUAGGCCUGGUGUCUGAAUUGCAGAUGAAAUGAAUUCUGUUCCAACUUGGAAAAGUUUGGUUCGCAUUCACAUGUCUGAUACUUGUUUGUUUUCUGAUGAACAAUUCCCUGCAUGUAGAGAUUUUAGCUCUUAAUGUUUUUCCGAUGCGGAAUUAUUGGAUUUGUUUUUCGUGAUCUACCAUAAUGAUAAUGGAAUUCUAUGGGUAUGUGAAUUCAGAACUAUAUCACUAGAGCAUUCAAGCCACCAUGUGACAUCUCGAUUACAUUCUCUGAUGCGAGGACCAUGAAGCAGGUACAGUGCUUAUACCCUCAUGUUGCUGCCAGUUGGGUUUCACACCGGAGGUAUAUAUGCAACUUGCUACCACCACUUUCACUUUUCUGAAAUAGAUGUAUAGCUUAUUUACUUUCUCAUUGAGAUAUACAUUAUAUCUGUUUCAGAUUCUUAGCUUCUAAAUUCUGUCUUUGUGAAUUACAAAAAUAUCAGAACUUUAUUUUGUUGAGAGAAACCUAUGCAAAGACCCCCCCCCCCCCCACCAAUACGAAGACUGUGUUGUCAAUAAUUAUAUGCUAUGACCUAAUAAUGAAAUCUAAAAUUUAGUCUUCUGAUACUCUGAAGUCCAUGUGUUGUGAUUCUUCACAUUUUUGUUGAUUUAUGAUAUAAGGUUGACAGAAUAUCUCACGAGUUAUUCUUUACCAGGGACCUCACUCUGACUUUGCUGGGCCGACAUGUGGGAGUACAGCAUGUGUAACACUAGUGAUUGUCAGCGCACCAUUGGUCUUCUUUUAUUCGGGAAGUUGUUAGAGCCUUUAUGGGGUUCAAAAGAAUUAUCAAAGUUCAUAUUUAUUGUGAACUUUUUAACUUCUGCAUGUGUCUUCAUAACUGCUAUUGUGCUGUAGUAUAUAACUCAGCAAGAGAUCUACCUGUAAGUACUGUUUCUCUAGAAGCUUAUGCAUUGAUGUUUUCCUUUUUUUUAACAGACUGGAUAGAGAGCAAGGCCACUAGAUAUGCUAGAAACAUGCAAUUCAAAGAGUAUUUAGGUACCUGUGGGUGUUUUGUUUUUUCAUAUGCAGGAGGGUGUAUUCUAACUGAGAUUUUACUGCCUAAAAAAAUGCUCCUGUUUUGUCCAGCAAAAUAGAAAUGAUGGAUGCUAAGCUGCAAAUUGUCUCAACUUAUGCUUAUUAUUUUAGCUGAUAUCCAUUAUUAUAUUCAUUUUACAUUUAGAGAUCAUUGCAAGUCUGCAAUUGUGUCGUCCUCCCCCCUCCUCUGCCUAAAAAGUACUUAUGCUGAUCUUUAAACUUUUGAUUUGUUAAAUUUUCAUACUUAUGCAUGAGCAUUGGUCAUGCUUAAGGUGGCUAUACAUUUCUGCUAGCACGUUUUCUGUUAUAACCUUUCAUGGAUCCCCUACAAUUUGGGAUAUUUGCAGCCUGCAAGGCUAGGAAACUAUGCUUCUUGUUUUAAGUACUUUUUAUUUCUAAACAUUCAUCAGAUAUGAAGGCUAGGAAACUAUGCUUCUUGUUUUAAGUACUUUUUAUUUCUAAACAUUCAUCAGAUAUGUUUUAUGAUUAGAAAGUUAUGUAUUUAAGACUUGGCUGUUAUUUUUGCUGUCUCAUGGCAGAUAACAUCUUAGAUCAUCUUGGCUGUUAUUGAUCAAGCCAAUGGACCUUCUGGAAUAAAAUUAACUGAGGACUUUAAGUGGUAGUUAAUUGACAUUAGCUCGAGGACCAAGUACAAUUUCUAUGCAAUUGCAAUUCUUCUUUUUGCUGGAGAUUGAUAUAUUGUCCAGAUGCAGGUGCCAUAGUGCUAAUGGUGGGCUGGUAUACAAGAAGAUAAUUGCAAUGGCAUUAGAGAUCAUAGUUGAUUUGUAUGAGUUCAAUUGAUUAAGCUUGUGUAUGACUGCAAUUCAUGGCUGUGUGCUGUGUAUAAUGGAUAAAAUCUAUGUACUUGCAAUUCAUUCAUGGCUCUAUUUUGUACUGUAUAUAGUGGACAAAACCUGUGUAUCUAUCGUAUAUAUAAAGGAUGAAAAAUGUGUAUUUGUGAUGUAUAUAUAAGAUAUAUUUUAUUC
Molecule: long non-coding RNA, 2629 nt
Organism: Panicum virgatum (switchgrass)
Lineage: Eukaryota; Viridiplantae; Streptophyta; Magnoliopsida; Poales; Poaceae
Exons: 2
Source: RefSeq, a predicted model, not a curated record